RNAcentral lists this ribosomal RNA (473 nucleotides) under uncultured Alphaproteobacteria bacterium. RNAcentral describes it as "bacterial SSU rRNA". It matches the Rfam family "Bacterial small subunit ribosomal RNA", at positions 916 to 1381 of the family's 1533-position model. Lineage: Bacteria; Pseudomonadati; Pseudomonadota; Alphaproteobacteria. The record is from RNAcentral.
GACGGGGCCCGCACAAGCGGUGGAGCAUGUGGUUUUAAUUCGAAGCAACGCGCAGAACCUUACCAGCCCUUGACAUCCCGGUCGCGGAUCGCAGAGAUGCUUUCCUUCAGUUCGGCUGGACCGGUGACAGGUGCUGCAUGGCUGUCGUCAGCUCGUGUCGUGAGAUGUUGGGUUAAGUCCCGCAACGAGCGCAACCCCCGCCUUCAGUUGCCAACGGUUCGGCCGUGCACUCUGGAGGAACUGCCUGUGACAAGCAGGAGGAAGGUGGGGAUGACGUCAAGUCCUCAUGGCCCUUAUGGGCUGGGCUACACACGUGCUACAAUGGCGGUGACAGAGGGAUGCAAUACCGCGAGGUGGAGCAAAUCCCUAAAAGCCGUCUCAGUUCGGAUUGUUCUCUGCAACUCGAGAGCAUGAAGUUGGAAUCGCUAGUAAUCGCAGAUCAGCUCGCUGCGGUGAAUACGUUCCCGGGCCUU